RNAcentral lists this long non-coding RNA (636 nucleotides) under Homo sapiens (human). RNAcentral's name for it is "non-protein coding lnc-CXCR6-3:1". Lineage: Eukaryota; Metazoa; Chordata; Mammalia; Primates; Hominidae. The record is from RNAcentral.
CUCUUUGUGCCUCUUCCCUUGGGUUCUUGAGGAGCUAGAUUAGGGGAAGACUCCUGAUUAAAGACUGCCUUGGGAGCCAGUCUAUUAGGGAUGCCAAAACAUCACUGGAAGUAUAAAGAGUCAGAUAUGAAACGCUCCCAGGGAGAUGGCUGGAUGUGCUGAAAGAAAUACAAGAGAAGCAUCUUGGGAUGGGUAGGAAUGGGAUGGCAUGGGGAGAGGGUGAAGUGAGCUUCUCAAGGGGCCUCAACCCCCAAACCUGCCUUCUAAGAAGGGUGGGUUCAAAGCCCAAGGUGCUUUGGUUUUGCUAAGUGGGUAUGUGAGUAGGAGUCCUUUGCCUUUUUGCUCCCUGGCUCAGCCUGCCCUCUGAGUAAAAGUUGAACAAAAUGUUAAGAAUCAGUGUGAAACUGUGUUUGAAAGAUUAGGCCAACUAGAAGCCCAUAGGCUUAGCUCUGAUACCACAAACUACCUCAUUAUCUCUUCCUUAUGCUGUUUCUCCCAUCGGUGGUGAGUAGUGGCCCCACCUGUAGGCUGGCAGGUAGGUCCAUGGGAGCCCCUUCCCUUCACUGGUAUGCCGCCCAGCCCUGUCCAGCAGGUGCUACUGGCCUCAUUAUUAAAACUAGGCCCUGGCUCUUCCCU